RNAcentral lists this ribosomal RNA (594 nucleotides) under Triticum aestivum (bread wheat). RNAcentral describes it as "partial small subunit ribosomal RNA". Lineage: Eukaryota; Viridiplantae; Streptophyta; Magnoliopsida; Poales; Poaceae. The record is from RNAcentral.
AUGGAGACACCCAAGACAUGGAACUUCUGUCCAAGCUCCAGCUGGUCGGCGAGCUCCUCUACAUCCAAGGCUUCACUUUUGACACUCCGACCGGGGUUUGGGUCACUUUCCCCGUACCCUGCUCUAUCAAAUGCAAGUAGGCGAGGGGAAGUCCUUGGUGCUAUCAAAUGCAUGCACUGUGAUGAUCUUGUACUUGGCCUUGUCUCUCUGCACACCGUCUUCCCGGUAUGCGAGGUACCUCCCAUCCCUGAGCUUGAUCCUGGGAGAUGUCACCGGAGGUCCACCUACCGAGCCGCAACGUUUUGUAUGUGGUGGCCGGAGAAUGGCCUGGAAGGCCAAACCAAGCAGCACCACUGGAAGAACGACGAGCAAUCUUGGAGCCAUUCUUCCCAGAUCCAGUGCUUUCGGUGUCAGCUGUGGAGGUUUAUGCGUGGCGGGGGCAAAGCUGCAAUGUGGGCUGCUCUUUUACUCCACUCCACCGGUAGUGUGGGCGCAUCAUUGCACGGACGGGACCCCCUGGCCCUGGCCGCUUUCUUUGUUUGCCUCCACUACUCUGGCUUGUUGCUGACUGUAAACAAAUACUCCGUAAAUUAA